CUUGGAGCAACCAGCUGGUUGAAGGAGGAAGCAGCAGAAGGUGUAGAUCCCUCUGCUCUUGGGAACUCGCAACUCAUGGAGGAAGGUCCUGGCAUUUUCCUGAGUGCUGGAGGCUUCCCAGAAGCUGCCCCCAAUGCCUUCUGCACUGCCUGGAGCCAGUGCUUCCAGCUGUCAGCUCUGGAGCUGAUGUAGCAGCCCGACAUUUGAGCAGCUGCAGCACCAGGAAAGUUGACUUGCAGAGGGAAAGGACACCCAGGCUUCUGGCAGAACAGCCAGGUGGCCUCACAGGAGGACAGUUACUCCACUCGCACAUAGAAUCACACAUACAGACUGUCUGAAGUUGGAAAAGACCUCUGGAGAUCUCCUGGUUCAACUUCUGCUCAGGUAGAGCCACCUAGAUCAUGUAGCACAGGAUCAU
Molecule: long non-coding RNA, 418 nt
Organism: Numida meleagris (helmeted guineafowl)
Lineage: Eukaryota; Metazoa; Chordata; Aves; Galliformes; Numididae
Exons: 3
Source: RefSeq, a predicted model, not a curated record